Long non-coding RNA from Scylla paramamosain (green mud crab), 2725 nucleotides. RefSeq lists it as uncharacterized. Lineage: Eukaryota; Metazoa; Arthropoda; Malacostraca; Decapoda; Portunidae. The record is from RefSeq and is a predicted model, not a curated record. The transcript is spliced from 3 exons.
AGUAGAUCACAGUUGAAGAUUCUCCGUAGAAAGUGCAAGGUUUGUUUGUCCACUGUCUGCCCGCUCAAACACUUCUCCUUCCCCUCCUUCACCGUCCUCCUUGCAUGGUCCCAGGAUGCCACGCCCUCGCCCUCGCCCCCCCACCAGGAGCCAAAGAACGGGAGAGAGAACUGCAUCUGCGCCCUACCACUGAUUUGGGUGGCGACGGCCAUGACGCUCGUGGGGCCGGGGACUGCGCGUAGCAUCAACUCAGAUUCACCCUUACUCCAGCGAGUGUAAGACUGAGCCGAAGAAUUUAUCUUCACUCAUCUGUGAACUCCAACCUGGCAAUGAGUACGAACUGGACAGCUUCAAAUGGGAAAACUACACAAAAUUAACGAUCAAGGGGAAAGGGAACAGCUUUUUCCUGAAGCAUCCUAAGUGCAGUGACAAGGAUAGGAAUGUGCACAUCUACAACGCUUCACGAGUUACCACCGAUCAACCUGAAAAUGGCUGCUCGGUACAGCUCUUCCUUUACAACUGCACAGGCGUCACCAUUGUGGGCGGCGUGAGCAGGGUGCGUCUGGAGUCUUCCAAGGCAGAAAAAGUGAUCCCUUCCAGAAGUGACUCAGUUUGAUGUUUAUGACUCCCGGAUCGGGGAAGUAUCCUUGACCAUUACCAGCAAAAAGUCGACUUUACAUAACUCUACUAUUGAACUGGUGAAUAAGUUGGUGAUUAACGGCUCCUUUAUCUUCCAAAUGAAAGACUGCAAGCUAGGUCACGUCAAAGAAUUCAUAUACAUUAACGACCAAACUCUAACUCAGGACUUGAUGGUCGACCGUGAGUCCCCUUAUGGCAUCCAAGUUUUUAGAGGCAGCCUGAAUUUUGAGGCUAUUUUCGACGUAGUAGAGCCAGACGGUAUAGUGGUGAUGCCUGAAGCAGCACUCAGCUUGAAAUUCGGAGAAAUCCGCACUUUUUCCGAGGAUUCCAUUGUUGUCAUGCCUGGGGGUAUGUUGUCGCUGCAUAACAUGACGCUUGGACAAAAUCUCUUUAUCUCUUUCACUUUCGGAGGAGCUUCCGUCCAGAUGUACCCAGUGUCGUUCUUAAAGCCCCCCUGGGUGGCGGCCCCAUGGGGUGGAUCGCCAUCGGUGUGGGCUUUCGGUCCUCGUGGUGGGCAGCGUGACAACUGCGGCCAUGACGUACUUCGUGAAACACAAGAAACGGUCCUUUUCCCGCGAACAGCGUGGAUACCAACAAACUGCUCAGCCCAAGAACAAUCUUCACCACAGACAGAAAAGGAUACAGAUUCACCUCGUCAACAAACACAACUUACCAAAGUCCAUGCCAGCCCCUCCCAACCGCCCCUUACCGAAUGUGCCCACAUGGAUGAGUGAUAUGCAUUAUGACGAUGUGGUCACAGCUUUGUCACCCCCCCCCACCGAAAUGGCUCCCCUACCAGAAGUAGCUCAGAGGCCUCCGUGCGCUUUACCAAAAGAAUCCCAAUCAACUAAACCCUCGCUUCAUCGUAGCAUCAAAGACAGAUUUUGCGGCAAAUCGAACUUUCUCCCCCCAGUAAUGAAGCACAGUAAGCAAGAUCCCCGCGAUUGCCCUACCACCACCCCCGCCACCAGCUGAGGAACUGUACGACGACCUGGAGGACAUGAAUCUACAGCUUCCACCACUGCCACCCACCACCAACAGACCUCAGCUGCCAGUAACACGGAAGGACAAGCCACUUCCCCGCGACCUGUGAGCGACGAAGAACUGUAUGACGACGUGGGGGACAUGAGCUUACAGCCUCCCCCACCGCCACCCAGUGCUAAUAAACCUAAGCUCUCCAAGGGGAAGCCAGUACCCGCCACCACCUUUACGCAAACCUAAGGUGCGCUAAAUGUGUGUGUGUGUGUGUGUGUGUGUGUGUGUGUGUGUGCUGUGUGUGUGUGUGUGUGUGUGUGUGUGUGUUGUGUGUGUGUGUGUGUGUGUGUGUGUGUGUGUGUGUGUCGCUGCUCAUCUAUACUUUUAAUGGGAAGGAAAGAUGAACGAAGAUGUUCACAAGCAUACAGGAAUUAUGGAUCAACUUCUCUUCCUUCAAGAUACGUGACGCUAAGGAUCUCAUUUGCUGCAUGGAUCCUUGCAUAUAUUUAUUUGCCACAGUUUUUGUAGUAGUAGUAGUAAUAGUAGUAGUAGUAGUAGUAGUAGUUAGUAGUAGUAGUAGUAGUAGUAGUAGUAAUAGUAGUAGUAGUAAGGCACAAAAAUGUUUUAAAAGAAAUACACACAUACAUAAUUAUAUAAACAUGUAUACACAUUUUUGGCUUUAUGAAGUGUGCUGAAAUAUAUCCACAGAUGACAAAAAGUUUGAAGCUUCUGCUUUUCACUCCUGUGGCUCUCAGUGGCGUGUGGAUAUUGUCAACUUGCACUACAGCAUUGUCUUAAGAUUGACGAGAGGCCACAGCAUUCUGAGGGUUAAAGCCAGUCUUCAGAAACGCUCUGGUCUCUCACUGUGAUUAUUUUCAAAGGCCGCUGAGGUGAUUAGUCGGGUCCUCAAGAGUGUUUCUCCCUAUUAAUAAUGUAAAAAUCUUGUUAAUAGUGUCAAUAUAACCAUGAAGAAAAACAUCCUUAAAACCUGUGUAACUUCAAGUAGGAGCUUUUGAAUGUAGUGAAGGUGCGGCGCAAGUAUUGCAGAAUGUGGUCCUAAGUCAUGGAAUAAGAUGUAGUCUGUAGCACAGUAAACCUUCAUGUUAUACUG